This 441-nucleotide ribosomal RNA is filed under the name uncultured Actinomycetes bacterium. RNAcentral's name for it is "bacterial SSU rRNA". It matches the Rfam family "Bacterial small subunit ribosomal RNA", at positions 338 to 795 of the family's 1533-position model. Lineage: Bacteria; Bacillati; Actinomycetota; Actinomycetes. The record is from RNAcentral.
CCUACGGGUGGCAGCAGUGGGGAAUAUUGCGCUAAUGCGGGAAACCGUGACGCAGCGACGCCGCGUGGGGGACGAAGGCCUUCGGGUCGUAAACCCCUUUCGCCAGGGAAGAAACUGACGGUACCUGGAGAAGAAGUCCCGGCCAACUACGUGCCAGCAGCCGCGGUAACACGUAGGGGACGAGCGUUGUCCGGAAUCAUUGGGCGUAAAGCGCGCGUAGGCGGCUCGGAAAGUCGGGUGUGAAACUCCGGAGCUCAACUCCGGAACUGCAUCCGAUACUGUCGGGCUGGAGGUAGGUAGGGGGGAUCGGAAUUCCUGGUGUAGCGGUGAAAUGCGCAGAUAUCAGGAGGAACACCGGUGGCGAAGGCGGAUCCCUGGGCCUUACCUGACGCUGAGGCGCGAGAGCUGGGGGAGCGAACAGGAUUAGAUACCCUUGUAGUC